AGGGACUAGUCUUUAUUUCAUUUUUGCACCUCAACUUUUGUAACUAUGCAUCUUCUUGAUGCUUUUGUUAAUAUAACAUCUUACUUCAUCAAAAAAAAAAGCAUCAACUUUUCAUUACUGUUCUAAAAUCAGUUUUUUACAUAAUCUAAUAGUAGUGAAAUAUUGGAAACCAAAAAAAAAAAAAUCAAAAUUUCACCAUUGAAUUACGAUAUUCACCCUAAGAAACAGUAAGUCAAACUUGAGCAGUGUCUACCGGCAGCAUAAAGGUGCAAAAUAUAGCAAAAAUUCAGUUCCGUAAGAUCUAAAUCAUAAUAAAUAAAUUUCUCCCUAAAAACGCAAAAAGAAAGAUAAAGAAUCAAUGCGAAUAUACGGAAAGAAAUUGGAAAUCGAACCUUGUCAAUGUUUAGCGAUACAGUAGGGUGACCGAGAUCUAUCGUUUCAGAAAGUGAUUGUCAUAAAGACGAUACAGUAGGGUGACCGAGAUCUAUUGUUUCAGAAAGUGAUUGGCAUAAAGAUUGAGAGCACCUGAGACUGAAGGGCAAAAAAUAACGAAUAGCGAGAGAGAGAGAGAGAGGCAGAGAGCACCCAGC
RNAcentral lists this long non-coding RNA (590 nucleotides) under Nicotiana benthamiana. Its description in RNAcentral is "long non-coding RNA (NBEN_LNC012220)". Lineage: Eukaryota; Viridiplantae; Streptophyta; Magnoliopsida; Solanales; Solanaceae. The record is from RNAcentral.